RNAcentral lists this unclassified non-coding RNA (345 nucleotides) under soil metagenome. RNAcentral describes it as "partial contains 5.8S ribosomal RNA, internal transcribed spacer 2, and large subunit ribosomal RNA". The stretch from base 1 to 120 matches the Rfam family "5.8S ribosomal RNA", at positions 35 to 154 of the family's 154-position model. The record is from RNAcentral.
GAUGAAGAACGUAGCGAAAUGCGAUACGUAAUGUGAAUUGCAGAAUUCAGUGAAUCAUCGAGUCUUUGAACGCACAUUGCGCCCCCUGGUAUUCCGGGGGGCAUGCCUGUCCGAGCGUCAUUGCUGCCCUCAAGCACGGCUUGUGUGUUGGGCCUCCGUCCUCCUCCCGGGGGACGGGCACGAAAGGCAGCGGCGGCACCGCGUCCGGUCCUCGAGCGUAUGGGGCUUCGUCACCCGCUCUUGUAGGCCCGGCCGGCGCUUGCCGACACAUCAAUCUUUUUUCCAGGUUGACCUCGGAUCAGGUAGGGAUACCCGCUGAACUUAAGCAUAUCAAUAAGCGGAGGA